GGGUUCUGUGUGUUCCUUCUGGUGUGUGUGUUACUGUGAUCCUCAUGGUUCUCAUGGUGUGUGUACUGUGUUCUGUGUGUUCCUUAUGGUGUGUGUACUGUGUUCUGUGGUGUUCCUUAUGGUGUGUGUACUGUGUUCUGUGUGUUCCUUAUGGUGUGUGUACUGUGUGUUCCUUAUGGUGUGUGUACUGUGUUCUGUGGUGUUCCUUAUGGUGUGUGUACUGUGUUCUGUGUGUGUUCCUUAUGGUGUGUGGUCUGUGUUCUGUGGUGUUCCUUAUGGUGUGUGUACUGGGUUCUGUGUGUUCCUUAUGGUGUGUGUACUGUGUUCUGUGUGUUCCUUAUGGUGUGUGUACUGUGUUCUGUGGUGUUCCUUAUGGUGUGUGUACUGUGUUCUGUGUGUGUUCCUUAUGGUGUGUGUACUGUGUUCUGUGUGUUCUUUAUGGUGUGUGUACUGUGUGUUCCUUAUGGUGUGUGUACUGGGUUUUGCCUGCAGUCUGGGUUCUGUGUGUUUGGAGAUGCGUGUCCUGCAUGUUCUAUAAGGUGUGUGUCAUGUGUGUUUUGUAAGGUAUGUGUCAUGUGUGUUCUAUAAGGUGUGUAUUCUAUAAGGUGUGUAUUCUAUAAGGUGUGUGUCAUGUGUGUUCUAUAAGGUAUGUGUCAUGUGUGUUCUAUAAGGUAUGUGUCAUGUGUGUUCUAUAAGGUGUGUGUUCUAUAAGGUGUGUAUUCUAUGUGUGUUCUAUAAGGUGUGUGUUCUAUAAGGUAUGUGUCAUGUGUGUUCUAUAAGGUGUGUGUUAUAUGUGUUCUAUAAGGUGUGUGUUCUAUAAGGUGUGUAUUCUAUGUGUGUUCUAUAAGGUGUGUGUUCUAUAAGGUAUGUGUCAUGUGUGUUCUAUAAGGUGUGUAUUCUAUAAGGUAUGUGUUCUAUAAGGUAUGUGUCAUGUGUGUUCUAUAAGGUGUGUAUUCUAUAAAAUAUGUGUUCUAUAAGGUGUGUGUCAUGUGUGUUCUAUAAGGUAUGUGUCAUGUGUGUUCUAUAAGGUAUGUGUCAUGUGUGUUCUAUAAGGUGUGUGUUCUAUAAGGUGUGUAUUCUAUGUGUGUUCUAUAAGGUAUGUGUGUUCUACGUGUUCUGUAAAGUAUGUGUUCUGUGAGAUCUAUGCUUCAGUGUUCAGGGUUCAGUGUAUUUUGUGUUCAGUGCGUGUUGUGCACCCUGUGAUCUUUGCGUUAGUACUG
Molecule: long non-coding RNA, 1220 nt
Organism: Clupea harengus (Atlantic herring)
Lineage: Eukaryota; Metazoa; Chordata; Actinopteri; Clupeiformes; Clupeidae
Source: Ensembl